Molecule: long non-coding RNA, 883 nt
Filed under: Homo sapiens (human)
Lineage: Eukaryota; Metazoa; Chordata; Mammalia; Primates; Hominidae
Description: non-protein coding lnc-DIAPH3-1:2
Source: RNAcentral
AGCGUGUCUGGAUGAAGGCAACAAUAGCAGGAGUUGAGCUGGGAGAGAAAAAUAGGGGCUACAUCACAUAGGUCAGGAAGAGGAGCUUGGAUUUGAUCCCAUAUGCACGGGAAGCCGCUUGAUGCUGGAGGUGAAGAUGGGCAGAAAAAUGAACCAUCAAAAAAGAAGAAGGAGGAUCAAUGCAUGACUCAUGAAUCAGUCUUGCUUUACUGAAAAGUUUCAGAAAACUCAAGAUUUUCUUCAUGCACUCAAUUUGUGGUAAUACAACCUCAAGCAAAUCGUAUAUUUAUCUGAUAUGUGCAUGCUGGAAACUUUCCGUCUCAUACUUUCCAGAAUCUCAGGACUCACCCAGCACAAGAGGGGGCUGGAAUUUGGAAAACAUAAGAUUGAUUUUAAACCUAAAGACUCAGUGAAGAUUUCUGUAUCUGAAUCUCUCUGCCUACCUAUUAAAUGUUGUUCCCAGGGAGAUCAGCUCCAACUGGAACCAGAGUGAAGCUUCUAUUCCCCUAUCCAUGGACAACACCUUCACCCACCUAGGCAUCUAGACAUCUAGACACAGACCUAUGUCCCACCUAGAGAUCUAGGCACUGAGACAUCUAGAUACCUAGAUAUGUCUAGACAUCUUCCCAGCAAAAAAUCCCAAUCCAACUCGCUCCUGGUCAUUCCUACUUGGAUGUCUCACAGACACUUCAAAAUCAAUGUUGUAAACGAAAUUAAUCCUCUAUCUCCUGACCCUCAAUGGCCCUCCCUCAUCAUUUGUGUCUUGCAGAAUGACCCCACCAUUCACCAGUUUUUCCAGCUGAAACCCAGGAGGCCACAACAGGAUUUGAGCGGCCUAUAGAGAUCCAAAUGCUACUGACAGCAGCACUGAGGGCCCACUCAA